GGCCAGACUCCUACGGGAGGCAGCAGUGGGGAAUAUUGCACAAUGGGGGAAACCCUGAUGCAGCGACGCCGCGUGAGCGAUGAAGUAUUUCGGUAUGUAAAGCUCUAUCAGCAGGGAAGAAGAUGACGGUACCUGACUAAGAGGCCCCGGCUAACUACGUGCCAGCAGCCGCGGUAAUACGUAGGGGGCAAGCGUUAUCCGGAUUUACUGGGUGUAAAGGGGGCGCAGACGGCGGUGCAAGCCAGGAGUGAAAGCCCGGGGCCCAACCCCGGGACUGCUCUUGGAACUGCGUGGCUGGAGUGCAGGAGGGGCAGGCGGAAUUCCUGGUGUAGCGGUGAAAUGCGUAGAUAUCAGGAGGAACACCGGUGGCGAAGGCGGCCUGCUGGACUGCAACUGACGUUGAGGCCCGAAAGCGUGGGGAGCAAACAGGAUUAGAUACCCCUGUA
RNAcentral lists this ribosomal RNA (446 nucleotides) under uncultured bacterium. Its description in RNAcentral is "bacterial SSU rRNA". It matches the Rfam family "Bacterial small subunit ribosomal RNA", at positions 329 to 792 of the family's 1533-position model. The record is from RNAcentral.